CUGAGAUCUGAUAGCAAGCUGUACUUGUACAGCGAAGUGGUUGAUGCCAUGCUUCCAGGUAAAGUCUCUAAGCUUCAGUUACACAGGAAUCGUACCCGAAACCGACACAGGUGGUCAGGUCGAGUAGACCAAGGCGCUUGAGAGAACUCUGCUGAAGGAACUAGGCAAAAUGGUACCGUAACUUCGGGAGAAGGUACGCUGUUGUUGGUGAUGGAACUCGCUUCCUGAGCUGACGACAGCCGCAGAAACCAGGCCGCUGCAACUGUUUAUUAAAAACAUAUCACUCUGCAAACACGAAAGUGGACGGAAAGGGUGUGAUGCCUGCCCGGUGCUGGAAGGUUAAUUGAUGGGGUUAGCGUAAG
This 362-nucleotide ribosomal RNA is filed under the name Pseudomonas aeruginosa. RNAcentral's name for it is "partial 23S ribosomal RNA". It matches the Rfam family "Bacterial large subunit ribosomal RNA", at positions 1556 to 1899 of the family's 2925-position model. The record is from RNAcentral. Lineage: Bacteria; Pseudomonadati; Pseudomonadota; Gammaproteobacteria; Pseudomonadales; Pseudomonadaceae.